Molecule: long non-coding RNA, 2872 nt
Organism: Oreochromis niloticus (Nile tilapia)
Lineage: Eukaryota; Metazoa; Chordata; Actinopteri; Cichliformes; Cichlidae
Exons: 3
Source: RefSeq, a predicted model, not a curated record
GACAAUAAAGUACAGCAAAGGUGUUAUUAUGAAUGCAAAUAGCUGUGAACUGGUCUGCCUGCACGUGUCGUCCAAUAAUGUGCCGGAGCAUUGCACACAAUGCAGUCACACCUGUUUGAAUACAAAUCACUGCAAGCAUCAGACUGUAACAUGUUCGAGGGACGUUAAAUGUUCAUUUGAUGUCGUGCUGAUGGUUUUAUUCCACACUGAAAGUGACCGGACUGAGUCCCUGAGCUGGACCUCUGCACAUCUAAACGAAGCUGCUUUAGAUGCAUUUACGUGCAGACACUGAUGCGGGAGACGCUGGGUGGUUUCAGCAGCUUUUGUCACUGACGUGGUCGAACAGCAGUCAAGGAGGAGCUGCUGGUCUGAACGGCAUACACGAGUCGUGUUUUGAAGAGCGCUGCAGGGAGGUCAAGGUCUGCUCGGUAAUCAUUGACAGAGACUGUGGAAAGCUGCAGGCUGGAAGCCCGUCUCACUGUAACACUGAGAGAAAACAUGCCAGGCUUCAAAUGUGAAGCCAGCACAUUUAUAAAUCCUGUGUUUAUGAAUGAAUAACACACUCCUCUCUAACAAACCUCAAACCUGAACCCUCUAACCACAGCCUGGGACAGAAAAUGGUCCCAGUCCUCCCAGUUUGGGAAUGAGAUGAAGGCAAAAACAAACAGUCGGUCUGUGUAUCUGUGUCUUUGCAGUUUAUUUACAGGAACCACAGGACAGCACACAGUCAGCCGAUGAUGCAGAGACAGAGAACGACCUCGUGGACUUUGGCCGAUGCUGCCGGGUUUAUGAUGAAUGUACUGACAUGAUUUUAAGAGUCAGUUAUUUAAAUGAUUGAAUUAUAAAUAUCUCUAAUUAUAAAGCAUUACACAGCGAACAAACCAUCAUCUGUGAGCAGUACUUGGCGACAGCAGGGAGGAAGAAUGCCCUUUUACUAUGAAGAGACCUAGAACAUUCAGCCACUCAUCAGUAAUGACUACAUGUCAUUUACAUAUUUCCAUGCACAAGAACAUCUGUUGCUGUUGUGGAAAUACGGGAACAAUGAGAUCGUCCGUAACGUUUAGAGUUUAGGUUCAAAACGAUGUUUGAACCAGUUAGUUAGCUUGCUAGCUUCCAUGUAAAGGUGAUACUCCACGUUCUGACUGAAGAACCUGGGACAGGUUAAACAGCAGCGAGGUUGGAGGGUUAGUGAAGCUAGGCUAGCUGACAGGUGGAGAUUUAAACACAUGAGCACAGAAAGAUGGAGGACCGCGGUUAAACUGUCCCCAAUGAAAGUUCACACUGAGACAAUCGCCAUCACAUGACAGCAAGAAGACACCAAAAAGAGAACGUCUGGGGUGAUCGGUCCACAGCAGGGGUCAGAGGUCAGGUCGCUGUUAAAGUCCUGAUCCUCAGCUUCUACUCUGAAGACUUCAGGUCUUUGCUGCAGCCACAGCGCUCAAUAUAUUUAUGACACCAGUGUCAAGUUCAUGAAUUAUUACAGUUAUUCCUCGAGUGUGCGCUUUAACCACUGUGAUAUUUUCAAUAGUAAGAUAUGAUCAUUGUUGUUAUUAUUUUUAUUCAGAAUCGCAGUUUUAGUGGUCGAAGUCCUGUGUGCCCGUUAAUAUAAAUGUACGUUUUUAACAGGUUUUUGACAAAUUUCUAAUAUAUUUGUGUUCUUGUUUCUAUGACAGCUCAGUCUCACGCUGCAUCAGAAUAACGGUGAUAAAAAGCUGAGCACAGAAGAGUUUCAUUAAAAAGAGGAGAGACAGACACGAGCACAGAGACGCCCUCUCCUCUGCAGGAGGGGUGGGUCGGUCGUAGCUCUGUCCCCGGCCUUUAUCAAACUGCCCUCCAGUUUGGGCGUUGCCUGUGUCUGCUCUGAUCUUUGACGGGGGCUGUGACCUCAGAGCGCUCCCCAGCUCUGGGUCCCAAACUCCUGAAAAUCAAAGCUCUUUAAGCACAGAACAACUCGUACUGGACAUCAGCUGGUGGUGGGAGUCACGCGCAGUGUUUGGCUGAUUGUGUCUGGGAGCUCUGUGAACACACAAGGAAGUUUAAGUCAGACAGAGAGAGCAGAGGCCACGGCUGUGAGUAUGGAAGCCCAUCAGCGCCCAGAAGUCAACGACAGGCUUCAUAAAACCUUCAUUACUUAAAACUUCAGUCAGUCAGAAUGAUUUACACGAUGCAUCACAGUCGAGAUUAGGUCUUUUUAAUGUCCUGGUGAUCUUCAAAGUGAAAUGAAAAACUACUCGCUGCUGAUUCCCGAUGGCUGACUUUACAGACGGAGUAUUUUCCUGUUUUGAAACUGGACGAGUUGAUGAGUGACAGGUGGAUCUACCGGUCACAGGUAGCCCCGCCCUCCUCCUCCUUCCUGUUCCUCUCGGACUCUGACGGGACCAAAAUCUCCAAAAUAAACUUCCUGUUUUCUUCAGUCUGACCUGAAAGCAGCGACUGAACCCAGAUCAGCUGAGCAGGACGCUCAUUUUCUCACAGACUUCUAUACAGUCAGAGUUUAGAGGAGUCGCCCCCUGCUGGGCAUUAGGAGGAGUGCAGGUUUAAUGUGCUGCAGCAGUUUCCAUCUUUAUAGACAGUCAAUUACAAUACAAAAAAAUUAAACUCUGACUAAAUGUGGCACUAGUUCAUGAUUAAUUACUGGAUUAUGAUAAUAAUAAGUUACAGUUCAGCUUCUGUUUGGAUUAAACUGAGUAGUAAAUAUGUUACUUUAAGCUUCUUCUGUAUGAAUGUGAGCAUGACUCUUUUUAAGCUUGAAACCCAACGCAGACAGAAACUCGACUCUGUGCUUGUUUGUGUUUAUUUCUGAUGUUUCAAAAUAAAUGUAAACUCGGCAGCACAGCGGCAAAAAGCUGCUGCUCUGUCGGCUCGGCUCGCA